This 468-nucleotide ribosomal RNA is filed under the name uncultured bacterium. Its description in RNAcentral is "partial 16S ribosomal RNA". It matches the Rfam family "Bacterial small subunit ribosomal RNA", at positions 28 to 507 of the family's 1533-position model. The record is from RNAcentral.
GACGAACGCUGGCGGCGUGCUUAACACAUGCAAGUCGAACGGAAAGGCCCUGCUUUUGUGGGGUGCUCGAGUGGCGAACGGGUGAGUAACACGUGAGUAACCUGCCCUUGACUUUGGGAUAACUUCAGGAAACUGGGGCUAAUACCGGAUAGGAGCUCCUGCUGCAUGGUGGGGGUUGGAAAGUUUCGGCGGUUGGGGAUGGACUCGCGGCUUAUGAGCUUGGUGGUGGGGUAGUGGCUUACCAAGGCUUUGACGGGUAGCCGGCCUGAGAGGGGGACCGGCCACAUUGGGACGGGGAUACGGCCCGGAGUCGUACGGGAGGCAGGAGUGGGGAAUAUUGCACAAUGGGCGGGAGCCUGGUGCAGCAACGCCGCGUGCGGGAUGACGGCCUUCGGGGUGGAAACCGCUUUCGCCUGGGACGAAGCGUGAGUGACGGUAAUGGGUAAAGAAGCACCGGCUAACUACGUG